This 494-nucleotide ribosomal RNA is filed under the name uncultured bacterium. RNAcentral describes it as "partial 16S ribosomal RNA". It matches the Rfam family "Bacterial small subunit ribosomal RNA", at positions 28 to 507 of the family's 1533-position model. The record is from RNAcentral.
GACGAACGCUGGCGGCGUGCUUAACACAUGCAAGUCGAACGGUGAAGCGCCUUCCUUUUUGGUGGGUGUGGAUGAGUGGCGAACGGGUGAGUAACACGUGAGUAACCUGCCCCCUUCUUCUGGAUAACCGCAUGAAAGUGUGGCUAAUACGGGAUAUUCUGGGUCUGUCGCAUGAUGGGUCUGGGAAAGAUAUUGUUUCGGUGGGGGAUGGGCUCGCGGCCUAUCAGCUUGUUGGUGGGGUGAUGGCCUACCAAGGCGGUGACGGGUAGCCGGCCUGAGAGGGUGGACGGUCACACUGGGACGGAGGCACGGCCCAGACUCCUACGGGAGGCAGCAGUGGGGAAUAUUGCACAAUGGGCGCAAGCCUGAUGCAGCGACGCCGCGUGAGGGAUGGAGGCCUUCGGGUUGUGAACCUCUUUCGCCAGUGAAGCAGGCCUGCCUCGUUUGUGGGUGGGUUGACGGUAGCUGGAUAAGAAGCGCCGGCUAACUACGUG